RNAcentral lists this ribosomal RNA (253 nucleotides) under uncultured bacterium. RNAcentral's name for it is "partial 16S ribosomal RNA". It matches the Rfam family "Bacterial small subunit ribosomal RNA", at positions 524 to 776 of the family's 1533-position model. The record is from RNAcentral.
UACGGAGGGUGCAAGCGUUAUCCGGAUUCACUGGGUUUAAAGGGUGCGUAGGCGGUCAGGUAAGUCAGUGGUGAAAUCUCUGGGCUUAACUCAGAAACUGCCGUUGAUACUAUUUGUCUUGAAUAUUCUGGAGGUAAGCGGAAUAUGUCAUGUAGCGGUGAAAUGCUUAGAUAUGACAUAGAACACCGAUAGCGAAGGCAGCUUACUACAGAAUGAUUGACGCUGAGGCACGAAAGCGUGGGGAGCAAACAGG